This 426-nucleotide ribosomal RNA is filed under the name uncultured bacterium. Its description in RNAcentral is "bacterial SSU rRNA". It matches the Rfam family "Bacterial small subunit ribosomal RNA", at positions 355 to 794 of the family's 1533-position model. The record is from RNAcentral.
UGGGGAAUAUUAGGCAAUGGGCGAAAGCCUGACCUAGCAACGCCGCGUGAGGGAAGAAGGUCUUCGGAUUGUAAACCUCUGUCCUUGGUGAAGAACACAAUGACAUUAGCCAAGGGAGAAAGCUCCGGCUAACUACGUGCCAGCAGCCGCGGUAAUACGUAGGGGGCGAGCGUUGUCCGGAAUGAUUGGGCGUAAAGGGCGCGUAGGCGGCCUGCUAAGUCUGGAGUGAAAGUCCUGCUUUCAAGGUGGGAAUUGCUUUGGAUACUGGGAGGCUGGAGUGCAGGAGAGGAAAGCGGAAUUACCGGCGUAGCGGUGAAAUGCGUAGAGAUCGGUAGGAACACCAGUGGCGAAGGCGGCUUUCUGGACUGUAACUGACGCUGAGGCGCGAAAGCGUGGGGAGCAAACAGGAUUAGAUACCCUGGUAGU